This 485-nucleotide ribosomal RNA is filed under the name uncultured bacterium. RNAcentral describes it as "bacterial SSU rRNA". It matches the Rfam family "Bacterial small subunit ribosomal RNA", at positions 28 to 508 of the family's 1533-position model. The record is from RNAcentral.
GACGAACGCUGGCGGCGCGCCUAACACAUGCAAGUCGAACGAAGAACUUUAACUGAAACUUUUCGGAGCGGAAGAUAAAGUUACUUAGUGGCGAACGGGUGAGUAACACGUGAGCAACCUGCCUUCAAGAGGGGGAUAAUGUCUGGAAACGGACACUAAUACCGCAUAAAUCGUCUAAGCCGCAUGGCUAAGGACGGCAAAGGAGUAAUCCGCUUGAAGAUGGGCUCGCGUCUGAUUAGAUAGUUGGUGAGGUAACGGCUCACCAAGUCAACGAUCAGUAGCCGGACUGAGAGGUCGAUCGGCCACAUUGGGACUGAGACACGGCCCAGACUCCUACGGGAGGCAGCAGUGGGGGAUAUUGGUCAAUGGGGGAAACCCUGAACCAGCGACGCCGCGUGAGGGAAGAAGGUUUUCGGAUUGUAAACCUCUGUCGUUAGGGAAGAUAAUGACGGUACCUAACAAGAAAGCACCGGCUAACUACGUAG